Molecule: ribosomal RNA, 513 nt
Filed under: uncultured bacterium
Lineage: Bacteria
Description: partial 16S ribosomal RNA
Rfam family: Bacterial small subunit ribosomal RNA
Source: RNAcentral
GACGAACGCUGGCGGCGUGCUUAACACAUGCAAGUCGAACGGGAAGAGAUGAAGAGCUUGCUCUUUAUCGAAUCCAGUGGCGAACGGGUGAGUAACACGUAAACAACCUGCCUUCAGGAUGGGGAUAACAGACGGAAACGACUGCUAAUACCGAAUACGUUCCACGGGCCGCAUGACGUGUGGAUGAAAGGGUAGCCUCUACCUGUAAGCUAUCGCCUGUUGAGGGGUUUGCGUCGGAUUAGGCAGUUGGUGGGGUAACGGCCCACCAAAGCAACGAACAGGCUCCCGUCGGCGAGGAUGGACAGCCACACUGGAACGGAGACACGGUCCAGACUGCUACGGGAGGGAGCAGUGGGGAAUCGGCCGCAAUGGGCGAAAGUCUGACGGAGCAACGCCGCGGGAGGGAGGACGGCCGUCGGGUUGUAAAGCACGGUGAUCCGGGAGGAAAGAGCCUGAGGUGAAUAGCCUAAGGAAGUGACGGUACCGGAAAAGCAAGCAACGGCUAACUACGUG